RNAcentral lists this ribosomal RNA (496 nucleotides) under uncultured bacterium. Its description in RNAcentral is "partial 16S ribosomal RNA". It matches the Rfam family "Bacterial small subunit ribosomal RNA", at positions 29 to 507 of the family's 1533-position model. The record is from RNAcentral.
AUGAACGCUGGCGGCGUGCCUCAUCCCUGCAAGUCGAGCGAACAGACGAGGAGCUUGCUCCUCUGACGUUAGCGGCGGACGGGUGAGUAACACGUGGAUAACCUACCUAUAAGACUGGGAUAACUUCGGGAAACCGGAGCUAAUACCGGAUAAUAUAUUGAACCGCAUGGUUCAAUAGUGAAAGACGGUUUUGCUGUCACUUAUAGAUGGAUCCGCGCCGCAUUAGCUAGUUGGUAAGGUAACGGCUUACCAAGGCAACGAUGCGUAGCCGACCUGAGAGGGUGAUCGGCCACACUGGAACUGAGACACGGUCCAGACUCCUACGGGAGGCAGCAGUAGGGAAUCUUCCGCAAUGGGCGAAGGCCUGACGGAGCAACGCCGCGUGAGUGAUGAAGGUCUUCGGAUCGUAAAACUCUGUUAUUAGGGAAGAACAAAUGUGUAAGUAACUAUGCACGUCUUGACGGUACCUAAUCAGAAAGCCACGGCUAACUACGUG